AUUGAACGCUGGCGGCAUGCCUUACACAUGCAAGUCGAACGGCAGCACGGGUGCUUGCACCUGGUGGCGAGUGGCGAACGGGUGAGUAAUACAUCGGAACAUGUCCUGUAGUGGGGGAUAGCCCGGCGAAAGCCGGAUUAAUACCGCAUACGAUCUACGGAUGAAAGCGGGGGACCUUCGGCCCUCGCGCUAUCGGGUUGGCCGAUGGCUGAUUAGCUAGUUGGUGGGGUAAAGGCCUACCAAGGCGACGAUCAGUAGCUGGUCUGAGAGGACGACCAGCCACACUGGGACUGAGACACGGCCCAGACUCCUACGGGAGGCAGCAGUGGGGAAUUUUGGACAAUGGGCGAAAGCCUGAUCCAGCAAUGCCGCGUGUGUGAAGAAGGCCUUCGGGUUGUAAAGCACUUUUGUCCGGAAAGAAAUCCUUGGCCCUAAUACGGUCGGGGGAUGACGGUACCGGAAGAAUAAGCACCGGCUAACUACGUG
Molecule: ribosomal RNA, 486 nt
Filed under: uncultured bacterium
Lineage: Bacteria
Description: partial 16S ribosomal RNA
Rfam family: Bacterial small subunit ribosomal RNA
Source: RNAcentral